UGCGCAGGCGGGGCAAUAAGUCAGUGGUGAAAUCCUGCGGCUUAACCGUAGAACUGCCAUUGAUACUGUUGCCCUUGAGUAGAGUUGAGGUGGGCGGAAUAUGUAAUGUAGCGGUGAAAUGCAUAGAUAUUACAUAGAACACCAAUUGCGAAGGCAGCUCACUAAGCUAUCACUGACGCUGAGGCACGAAAGCGUGGGGAGCGAACAGGAUUAGAUACCAUGGUAGUC
This 228-nucleotide ribosomal RNA is filed under the name uncultured bacterium. RNAcentral describes it as "partial 16S ribosomal RNA". It matches the Rfam family "Bacterial small subunit ribosomal RNA", at positions 568 to 795 of the family's 1533-position model. The record is from RNAcentral.